Long non-coding RNA from Homo sapiens (human), 293 nucleotides. RefSeq lists it as uncharacterized. NCBI's taxonomy places the organism in Eukaryota, Metazoa, Chordata, Mammalia, Primates, Hominidae. The transcript is spliced from 3 exons. The record is from RefSeq and is a predicted model, not a curated record.
UGGGACUUUCAGACUCUGAAGAACUUCUGAAACUGUUGAGAAAGUGUUGUUGAAACCAAAGGGAUUCAGAGGAUGCUAAAGGAAUCUGGAUAAAUUUAAGAAGAAUGCAGGAGACACCAUGAGUUUCAUUUUCCAGCCAGCCAUUUUGAGAACAAAGAUGAAAACCAAUGUUGUAUCAUUCCGACAAUCCCAGCUGCUGGUCUGAAAAUACCAGGACUGAUGUAUUCCUCAAUUGAAGGGAGAAGCAGUGUAUUCUAGGAUAGUUUUGAUGUCUUCAAUUAGUAAGUAUUUAU